CGGAUCACUAUAGCAUAUAGCUGCCAUACAAGCUAAAGGAUCGAAAUCAAGUUCUUGUAAGGAAGCUUUGUAUUUGUGAAGGGUAUUAUAGCUUCGGUGCAAACGAAGUUAACAUUUUUUCUUCUUUAUUAUACAAAUUUCUUUUCGAAUACGUGAAAAUGUAUUGUUUUUUUUGUCAGUCCUGAUCAAAUUUGAUCAGUUCAAAGUUUUAUUUUACAUUUUACUUCACGAUGCAUCACACAUCGAUAGAGGCGGUGCGCACACGCUGUAGCGAUUUAACGGUUUUCCGCAUACUUUUCCAUUAAGCCAAGCCAAAUGAUCGUUGUGUGUAGCGAAACGUGUUUCUUGUGGACACACAUUCAAUGACUGAGGAAUUUUCGCAACAUAUUUUUGGUAUUGACCAUGGAACGGUAAUUGAUUGCACUGUGUGUAUACACGUGUGAAUAUGUAAAGAACGUUGUACGUACACAUUCCGCUACGAAAAACGUCGUGUGGGAAAAAUUAGUAAUGAACGCUGAAAAUGGACAAUAGGAGUUCAUUGAAUGUGUUGCUUUCUUCAAUUCUCAGAAAUGUAGGUAGAAAGUAAAUGGUUACAGCAUGGGAUAUGUGUUAGUGAUCCUUUAAACUGGAACGGCGUUAGAAUCUUAAGGAUUACCGCAAGCAGCACGUACUACCUGUUUUAACUCUGCUCUCUCAUAAACUCUAACGGCUUAUAAUUUUGGAAAAGCUGUAGCUUCUACAUGGCAAAAUCAGCAGAUUCUAAACUCAACUAUUAUUUCUCGCCAGACAUUUUAGCAUAUCUUUACUUAUAAUACUAUGUUGCAAUAGCGCUAAAAAUAGCAGCAAUAGUCACCCAAUGAAAGGGGUGAAAAAAUUGCAAAAAGUCAUGCAAGCAAAGCAAAAAAUCAUGAAAAAACAACGACAACAACCAAAGCGAUUUGAGCGCUAAGAAUAUUCUGCACAUGUGCAGAAGGGUCAACGACGUUUGCGCAUUGACAGCAUUAUACUUUUAAGCGUGUGGCAGCAUUAAAACAUAAAAUAUAGUAAACGGAGUGGAAUACUAGAAAAUCAACUUCCCUCUUUCUGAGCGGCCACCAGCUUGUUUCUUAAUGAUAAUUAUACCAACUAUGGAUCGGCGCUGUUAAGGUGCACCGUUUUUAAUAGUUUAAUUUUUCUUCUUCGAAUAACGCAAUAAGAAGACCUUCUAAAAAUAUAUCUAACUUGUAUUAUUAAAGUAGGGGAGCCAAGCAGCUAGUCAGCGCGCUGUGUUAACCGCAAAAAUGCCAGAUGGAAAAAAUGGAGACAAAUGCAAAGUGCACGCGAUAUAUUUAAUGAGUAACUUAUUAAGACUAAAAAGGGGGAAAAAACACAAAAAUAGCAUUAAAAAUAUAUCCGAAUUGCGGAACUGCUAAACAUGACUUCGAACUAUAGCUGCUAUUAAAAAGAUAGCAAUAAAAAUUAUAUUAAGGAAAUGUGAAAAAAAAACUAUUAAAGCGUCGUCUACAUAUCCAAUUUUUAUAGAUCACUUAAGGUAAACGGACUCUGGUGGAGUAUCAAAGCUAAUUAACAGUUUCGAAGCGUAAACGAAGCAUGCAAAAAUUAUUUAGUUUAUGGUAAUAUAAAUCCAUUAAUACCAGGCGGAUUACUAUUCGCGUCCACUUGCAUACAAACACAUAACUACAAACAUAUGUACGAGUACAUACGAGAGUGUUUAGGCCUAGUAUCAGAGUAUCAGACGAAUCGAAUUUAUGCACGCUUAUGGCAAACGGAAAAAGUACUGCAAAACACAAGUAAACAACUUUAGCAUUCCAAGAAGUCUAUUGCCUUUUUACAGCAGCAUCACCACCUCCAACAACAUCAACAACAACAACCGCCCCACCGAUAGGCACACGAAGUAAACAAGAAAUAAGAAAAAGUGUAGUUUGCGCGCGGCAGCUGCAGCAGCGGCUGCAACAACUCAACAGCAAUGCAACAACAACAACCACAUAGUGUGUGUGUGUGUCGUGCAUAAAGGAAUUCGUUCAUGGAAUCCAUGAAUUGUAUAAAUGUCCGCACCAUCGGCAUACCAACGGCGCAGGAGUGCGAUCAAAACAAGAAAAUCAAACAAACCAGUAGACAAAUGAUCAUCAAGAAGCUGUGUUGUUGGCAAACGCUGCGGCUGCGAAGGCAAUGACUGCAAGAUCGCCCAGCGAACGCAUGAUUCCGAUUAGUUCUACUAUAAAGCAUACUUUGCCGCGCGCAAAUCUAAAUGCCACACAUGCAUAAGCGCAUGCGUACGCAUUUACACACACACACACACACAUGCAGAUUUCAGCAUAUACGAUCAACAACAACAGCACAACAGUGCUUUCCUGUUAUGAUGCGCGCAUUGUUGUGCCUAUGUGAAAUGCGGUAUGCAGCGAAAUGCCCAUUUUGAAGGCGGAGUUCACAGGCAUUGCAAAUAACACGCCAUGAAAUUCCUUCCCACGAGGACUACUAUGUUUGUCUGGCUCUGCCGCAUAGGUAAGUUAUGCCGUCCAUGCAAUCCAUACAAAGUCUUGAUUAGUUCUUUUGUCUGUUUGUCUGUCUGGUUUGGUAUGCUACUUUUUUUUUUCGUUGCGGUCUGUUUUUGUUACUUUUAUAAAUGACUUUGAAAAAUGGGUUCAAGGAACGCUGAGGACUUAAUGCCUUUGAAGUAAGGAAUUCUUUGAACUCGAUGAAGGACACUGCAGCAGCCGCAGACAUAAACAAUGUAUGCACAUGCAUACAUAUGUGUGUGUAGUAGCUGCAUAUGUAUGUAUGUAUGUAUGUAUUUUCUUAUUAUUUGUUUUGGCGUUACCAUGACUUUGUUGUCGAAGAUGCAGCACAAAUUGGCGCCAAAAACGUGCUGUGUUGCUGGAUUGGUGAAUUAAAAAAACGUGUUGGGAAUGUUUUCAAGGAAUUGCUUCUUAACGUCAUGCCAUUUGUGUUUAUAUAAGGGAUUUGAUGCUCUUUUAGGAAAAUUAUGCGGUACUGCAACAACAUAUCAUGAUAUGCAAUGUGUAAGGAAUCAAGAAAAAGUUAAAACAAAAAAUUAAAAAUAAACCGGGUUCGAAAAUUAGAAGAAGCUGCAAGCUAAAUAAGGCUAGACUGGACAAGACUGACGUUGAGACUUUACGUCAACAUAACCUAUGUGAGAAAAGUUGAACAAAACAACAAAAAAGAACAAAAUACAACACAGCCAAGCUAUAAGCAAACGCACAAUGCAAAAUUAACGAUGUUGGGGCGUUGAACUAACCAAGCCUCAUUGCAGUUUGCAGUUUUCGUUCAAAAUAUUAGCACAAUUAACAAAAUAAUAAGAAUUGAUACAUUUUGAUCGCCGCCAAAACAAAACGGAGAUAUGCAAAAAUACUAGCCAAUCGAUCAGCUAGAGGGUAAAGUUAAACUAGCACGAUGACAAGACUCUGGCGGAGACUCGGCGAAAGAAAACCAACAUCAUUACUGGUUUGACUCGAACGCGCGGCACACUGGCUGUCUGUGGGUUGGGGCGAAGUCGUUGGACAAGAGGUGCAGUGAGCUUUGUCACGUAUGAACCGAAGCUAAAAGCAAGGGUUGGAGGUGGUGUCUUAUGUCUGGAGCUCUACGUCAACUCUAGCUACAUACUACCAGACCACUAGUAGUGUCUUUCAAGCGGAGGUGGCUGCCAUCCCUCCUGUGAGAGUUUGGCAAGCGCUAGUCAACAACCAGAACUUGCGCUGCUGUGCGGUGUGGUUAAAUAUUUAAUUAGACGCUUUUUGUCAAGUUUGUAUGGAGGAGGAGAUAAUUUACUUUUGCCAGACUGAGAUUGAAAUAUCUCGGUAGACACACCUUCUACGAACCUGGGAAGUGGCUGGGAUUGAUAUUAACCGCCUUAACAAAUUUUUGGUAACGCUUUGAGGAUCUGUUGAUCCAUUUUUAGGAGUUUUUGCGUAUCACAAGAACUAAAGCUGUCUAAAUAUGAUCCAUUGUUGUAGUAACCCUUGAGUUUUGCUUUUAAUAAACAAUUGUAAAUGAUUUUAA
Non-coding RNA from Bactrocera oleae (olive fruit fly), 4017 nucleotides. The record is from RefSeq and is a predicted model, not a curated record. Lineage: Eukaryota; Metazoa; Arthropoda; Insecta; Diptera; Tephritidae.